UGAUAAGGAGCCAAAAGAAAAGACAGUUCUUUGAGGGAAGCCUGGGGGUUGUUGGGGGUGGAGCAGCGUGUUUAUGUAUUAGCAUAGGGUAAAUCCAGAUGCCUCUUGGCACUAUGGAUACACUAGCAGCUGAAAGCAGGGCAGACAGGAAGGCUACCUAGGAGCUUCCUGGCAUGGUUUCUUCUUCUUAAUUGCCGUAUCUCAGAGAUCUGAGUGAAUGACCAGGGGAGAGGUCUGAUGCUAGCAACUGUUCAGCACAAACACCUUCUAAAGUAUUAAUGGUGCCCAGUAGGAACUGGAGGAGUCGGCGCGAUCCUCUGAAAGCCAGGAAAUAGCGGGAGCCGCCUGUACCUGGAUAAAACCCACCCGGGAGGAGGCUCCAGGGGACCACAGCUGACUCCUCCAGGCACAGAGGAUUGAGUCAUCCUGCAGGCGUCAGAGCGGGAAACAAGCGGGAAUGGUUGAAGUCUGUGUGAACCUCAGAG
Molecule: long non-coding RNA, 485 nt
Filed under: Cricetulus griseus (Chinese hamster)
Lineage: Eukaryota; Metazoa; Chordata; Mammalia; Rodentia; Cricetidae
Description: lncRNA (ENSCGRG00015037179.1)
Source: RNAcentral